Molecule: long non-coding RNA, 216 nt
Organism: Plutella xylostella (diamondback moth)
Lineage: Eukaryota; Metazoa; Arthropoda; Insecta; Lepidoptera; Plutellidae
Source: RefSeq, a predicted model, not a curated record
GUUCAUCAGACAGCAGCCAGACACAAACAUGACCUUAUGCCACAUCUUCACCGACGCCGCUCUGGGUUUGAUGGCUUUAAUGGGAAACACAAAUGCUAAUGUUGAUUUGAAUCAGAACUCUGCGAACCAACCAGGAUUCUUGAAUGGACCCAAAGCUGUUCUUACGAAGAAUAGCCCGCAGACGAACUAAGCGAACUUCGAGUGAGCGCCCGCGGC